AUCUUUGCGCUUGGGGCAAUGACGCAACUAAUGAGGUUCUAACCGAGGCACGUCUAUUGCUGGUUGAAAACUAUUUUCAAACAGGGGCGGUUCUAAGGCCCGGCAACCCUGGGCACUCGCCCGGGCUCCGGGCCAAAUUUUUUGCAAUUUCUUGUGUAA
Molecule: small nuclear RNA, 159 nt
Filed under: Medicago truncatula (barrel medic)
Lineage: Eukaryota; Viridiplantae; Streptophyta; Magnoliopsida; Fabales; Fabaceae
Description: sRNA gene36851
Rfam family: U4 spliceosomal RNA
About the family: U4 small nuclear RNA (U4 snRNA) is a component of the major U2-dependent spliceosome.
Source: Rfam by way of RNAcentral